UGUAGCCAGAAAGUUAGCCACAACCAAACGGUGGAACGGGCCCAGAGCUCUCGAGGACGGAGAUAGCUCUCCAUGGAAGUCAGCUAUUUUUACCCAUAAAAAUGAAGUGCACGAAGAAUCCUCGCAGGAAAACGGACUAUCAUUUCCAGGCAACUUAUGAAUAUAACUGUGAUCCAGACCAAGGAAUAAGAGUGGAUCCUCAUCAAUCAAGAAGAACCGUGAGACAACCUGAGAAGUAGUCGAGAGCAACUGAACUAAGGGGUACAAAAUUGACUUUCAACGGUAAAUGAAGGAGUGUAGAAAGGGUAAUAAUGAAUUGGGAAAACACAUGCAGGAUCACACCUGACUGGGAAGUGAGACCAAGCUUAUAUCAGUGGUUUCAAGUACUGCCUGGACAGACUUUAAAAUGCCUUUGGUAUCCACCUUGGCAAGGGACUGUGCCAUCACAAACAGGGGGAUCUGGACCAUUUCGGACAGGAAAUUCUGGUAUUUUUGCCUUAGCCUGUGAUUUAUACAAAGAGGAGGGAGAGUUACAACCUAGAUCGGUGCCUCAUAAUAUACCCUGCUUGACCCAUCCAAACACUGGGCAUGCUAGUUGGGUAAAAUGUAAAUGUUUAAAUUGUGGGAGAAAUUGGUAUUGCAGUUCACACAAAAGAUGCUCGUAUUGCCAGGAGUGUCGGGGGACAAGUAGGUCCCCUAUCCAGAUGGAACGUGCCACGGCAGAAAUAAUAACUUUAUUUUGUGGAUGGGAAUUAUUAGUUCCCGUUACAUGGGAAAUACCUGAAAAACUGUGGGAAAAUACUGUCAAAGAGUGUCAAAAACUAUUUGCCUGGAAAUUGGCUAAAAGAAAGUAAAUGUAUAAAGGAUGAGUAAUAUCUGACUAGCCGUAUCUUAAAGCUUGCUACUGAAUUGAGCCUAAUUAUAAUUGGAUUUCAUGAAUUGGUAUCACUUGUUUCAAAGGGGAAUAAGGAAAAGAUUAGAUUCAAAAGGUUCAAAUGUUAGCUAUUGAAUACCAAAGGUCAAAUAACAUACCCUGUGAAGCUGAUAUAGUCAAAUUAUUAAAGGUGGGGGGGGGUGCUGGGAUGCCUUUAAGAGGCGAUAUACAGCUCAGUCCAUACAUGAAACCCUGGAAGGACAUUCUUGCUGCUGUGAAGAUAACUUUAUCCCGCCACUGGCAGCAACCCAGUGGGCGUGGCAAAGGCAGAGGGAUACACCUGUGGGUAACUAUAAUGGGCUUGAGCCUAGCCAUGUGCUGUACAACUAGUCUGCACUUGGAAAUUCUGCCUGGCAUUAAAAGGGCAGAAAUAUCAGCACCCCCGCCCCAGGAAGCUGCUGCAAGAGUAAGAAAAACACUGUACUAUAAACAGCACACAGUAUGAAAUCUGUAACAUAAGUGAAAAAAAGAGAUAAUAUGCAAUAUGCCAAAAAAAGCGAUAUCUAAGGACCGGCAGUCAGAAGCUCACACCUACAAAUUAUAUAAGCAGGGUGUGGGGAAACUUAUUCCUGUGGGUAAUCAAUGUAAUAGAGCAAUAUGGGAUGAAUGAAAAAUAGAGUCAGUAUCUGUAGGCAUAUCUCAAAGUUAAUAAGCUAUGUUAUGAUAGAUUCAAGAUCCUAAAUCUUGCAGGAGGGAAUGACAAUAGGAUGUGUUUACAAAAUAAUAAAGUUUUCUGUUUUUUUU
This is a long non-coding RNA of Passer domesticus (house sparrow), 1678 nucleotides long. RefSeq lists it as uncharacterized. The transcript is spliced from 2 exons. Lineage: Eukaryota; Metazoa; Chordata; Aves; Passeriformes; Passeridae. The record is from RefSeq and is a predicted model, not a curated record.